CCCGGCCCCGGCGGGGCGGGCGCCCCUCGGCCCUCGGCCGGGGCGAGCGAACUGGCGGCGGGGUCCCGAUCCCGCCGCCGGGCC
Molecule: transfer RNA, 84 nt
Filed under: Pilimelia anulata
Lineage: Bacteria; Bacillati; Actinomycetota; Actinomycetes; Micromonosporales; Micromonosporaceae
Description: tRNA-Glu
Source: RNAcentral